CCUACGGGCGGCAGCAGUGAGGAAUAUUGGUCAAUGGACGAGAGUCUGAACCAGCCAAGUAGCGUGAAGGAUGACUGCCCUAUGGGUUGUAAACUUCUUUUAUAUGGGAAUAAAAUGUUCCACGUGUGGGAUUUUGUAUGUACCAUAUGAAUAAGGAUCGGCUAACUCCGUGCCAGCAGCCGCGGUAAUACGGAGGAUCCGAGCGUUAUCCGGAUUUAUUGGGUUUAAAGGGAGCGUAGGUGGAUUGUUAAGUCAGUUGUGAAAGUUUGCGGCUAAACCGUAAAAUUGCAGUUGAAACUGGCAGUCUUGAGUAGAGUAGAGGUGGGCGGAAUUCGUGGUGUAGCGGUGAAAUGCUUAGAUAUCACGAAGAACUCCGAUUGCGAAGGCAGUUCACUGGACUGCAACUGACACUGAGGCUCGAAAGUGUGGGUAUCAAACAGGAUUAGAUACCCUUGUAGUC
This 460-nucleotide ribosomal RNA is filed under the name uncultured bacterium. Its description in RNAcentral is "partial 16S ribosomal RNA". It matches the Rfam family "Bacterial small subunit ribosomal RNA", at positions 338 to 795 of the family's 1533-position model. The record is from RNAcentral.